CGCAUAUGUACGUGGGGGGUGGGAGUGAAGCCUGCAGGGUCUCCUGCUUUUCUGCGUCUUGUCCCUGUCCGCGCUAGCCCAGCUUGGGCCUGGCCACUAACACCUGGGGCCAUAGCAGAUGGCACAGGAGACCGGUUCCUGUGAGCCGUGGGGGCAGCAGACAGGAGAGGCCUGCGGGUUUGGGAGCAGAAGGGGCCCAGCGUGCGUUACCGCGCUGUCACUGACGCCAAGGGGCUGUGGAGGAAAACUGGAGGAGCGAGAUCCAUGGGUCUCCUGCUCUCCGAUGCCCUGACCACGCUCCACGACACGGAAGCUGUGACCAGAGGGCCAAAGGAUCAGUCAUCCUGCACUGUUCAGUGCCAGGGAGCUCACCGCUCACAGAAGCAGCCCGUUCUGGGUUUGGAAACCGGUGUCUCCUGGAAAGAACAGACAGGGUGACAAACUCCUAUUCAUCCCUCAAAGCCCAGCUCAGAUGCACCUUCACAGCUCUCUGCCUAGAGACCUGCCGUGGCACCGAGCCCACCAUCUGGUAACAUUGCUGUACCUUUGUGUCUUCUUUAUGAAACGUGCAGCCCCGUGAGGGUAGGGCAAAUAUCUGAUUUACCUCUGUGUCCCCAGUGUUCAGCAUGGAGUGACCCAGAGUGGGUUCUGAGUCACACAGAUCCUUGGGUCACUCACACUGGGCCUGAGGAGUGGGGUUGUGUGAGCAACAUGCUUCAAGCCCCGGGGUCCCUAGGACUCCAGGUCUUGGUUAGUCACUUGGUGAGCCCUGGGGACUGAGGACCCAUUCUAGGUACAGCUGGCCCCGGGACCCUGGGACGGACCCUGGGAUGGCGGUGCUGGGAACCCCAUUCUGAAGGGAGGGAUGGCCCUGACAGGAGACCCUGCCGUCUGAGAAGGACAAAAGUGGCCCGUAGGCAGAGUGUGUCCCUUCACCCUCCAAGCUGGCUUGUCACCACAAACCUGGAUGAUGUCUGUCUGUCUGUCCUUCUUUAAUUCAGUUCUAAAGUGAUUCCUGCACCCCCAAUCCUGUGUCUAACGAACCUGACAUUCAGAGGAAAUGUCUUCGGGAAAGGUCACCAGAGGGAGGUGGCGUUCUCGCUGACAGCACCUGUCCUUCCAGCACGGGCAGACUCUCCUUCAAGACAAGUGCCCGUGCUCCUGUCCCUCGGAGCUGCCCCUCCCCACCAGCUGCCUCUGCUCCUUCAACCCUUCAUCUGGAAAGACACGGCUCAGGACCCGCCUCAUUUGUCUGUUCAUGGUCCCUACUGGCCAUUGAGACACAGGGACGACUCCGGUCCCAGCCCUACCUGGCAGGGCACCCGGGAGGGCAGAUCCUGAGAUCACGGCUCAGGGGUGGAAAAGAGACGAGGUGGGCAAGGGAGGCAGAACCUCGUGGUGAGAUGUCACAUGCUCUGCGCUCAGAAGUUUGACCUUCGUCCUGAGGACAAUGCCUAUGUGAUUAUGUGAAUGGCGCCCGUGAGCCAGGAAGCACUACGAGGCAGGAACGGCGUCUGAUUUUCUCCCUAUUGUACUGCCAGCACCAGCACAGCUGGCCCAGAGAAGGUGAAUCAUUGCUUAAAAUGCAAACAUUCCCAAGUCCUGGCUCAGCUUCCCCUCUCCCCACCCGUGUGCCUGAGGAGCAGUAAUUGUGCGGGGAUGCAAAUGCUCAUUACAUGAACAGAGGGCAGUGUGGGACAUAAAUCUAGAAAAUUGAAAGAUUGGCCCCUUCCAGGAACGGGAACCAUGGUCACCAGCAACUCCUGCCUCACGUGUUCCCUGAUUCAUCGUCUUCCUUUGGUUCUGAUUGGCCAAACCUCAGGGGGUGACUUAUCCUCUGGAGUUGGGUUAUGCCCUGCCCAUGUGGCCAGGGGGCGGGAGCAUCCUCUGACUGACAGCCAGGGCUGCAUGCUGGCCUGGGGGAAGGAGGGUUCUCCAGAUGAAGGGCUUUCUCUUAGGGAGGAAUAGAUGGGCACUGAGCAGACACAACAAUAUGCAUCUGCCACGGCCACGGUUGUGUGCGACAGUGUCCCUUUGGUACAAAGGCACCCGCCAUUUCUCAGAUACACGAGCUGACCUUCAGGGCCCAGGUUAGCAACCUUCGUCCCCACCCCCCUUUCUGAAAUGAAGGGGUAGCAUCCCAGGAGGACGACAACCUGCCUCUCCACCUUAAGUCGCCCUCCCCUCUGAUCCCGUCAUGUGAUGAAGGGGUCACCACGAGCUACAGUCUUAGCUGGAGGGCAUGAGAGGAGAGGAGAGGCCUGACUACCUCACUGAGGUCUCAAUUAAGAUAAGGAAUCAUUACAAAUGCUCUGCUCAAGAUGCAUUGUAAAGAGUGAUUCACUCUGUGCCCAUUUCCUGCUAGCCCUGAAAGCUAAGCAGGGGCCGCCUGUGCCGCAAUAAAUGUCACUAUAUGAGCAUUA
Leopardus geoffroyi (Geoffroy's cat) is the source of this 2423-nucleotide long non-coding RNA. RefSeq lists it as uncharacterized. Lineage: Eukaryota; Metazoa; Chordata; Mammalia; Carnivora; Felidae. The transcript has 4 exons. The record is from RefSeq and is a predicted model, not a curated record.